CUUGGUUAGAAAGAAAUGGAUGCAUCAUCAGAGGAGAGCUUCAUUUCGGCUUUCACUCUCUUAGUCAUUCUAGAAGACUUUCAAGAAGCUGGUCUCUAACUUACAGCUCCAAAGGUGGAAGUUUGUAGAGAACUUCUUUGAUAUUAUUAACCCUCUGUAAUCGGUUCAUGAUCUGAUAGUCUUAUUUAGACACAACCUUCCUACCCCUCUACUUCCUAACUCCUUGAUUUGUAAUAGCUUUUGAUUUUUCAUUAAAAUUUUUAUUUCAUAUUACAAUUAAAAACAAAUUAUUAUAUAAAGGGUUUGAUUGCCUUUACUAGUUAUACAUUAACCAAUUUCAUUAUUUCUGACUUUCUGUAUAUAAUGUGAUUAUCUAUAACAGGGGUGAGUGACCAAAUGGGCUAGAUGGACUCGGCUUUAUAAGACCAUCGUUGAAAUAUCUAGGUCUUUUCGAAGAACUAGUAUACAUGCAUCUAUAAUUAAAAAAAAUUAUUAUAUAAAGGGUUUGAUUGUCUUUACUAGUUAUACAUUAACCAAUUUCAUUAUUUCUGACUUUCUGCAGUAUAAUGUAAUUAUCUAUAAAAGGAGUGAGUGAUCAAGUGAGCUAGA
This 609-nucleotide long non-coding RNA is filed under the name Elaeis guineensis (African oil palm). Its description in RNAcentral is "long non-coding RNA (EGUI_LNC010588)". The record is from RNAcentral. Lineage: Eukaryota; Viridiplantae; Streptophyta; Magnoliopsida; Arecales; Arecaceae.